Molecule: ribosomal RNA, 210 nt
Filed under: uncultured bacterium
Lineage: Bacteria
Description: partial 16S ribosomal RNA
Rfam family: Bacterial small subunit ribosomal RNA
Source: RNAcentral
CAGUUCAGACUGCAGGCUGCAACUCGCCUGCACGAAGUGGAAUGCUAGUAAUCGUAGGUCAGCAUACUACGGUGAAUACGUUCCCGGGCCUUGUACACACCGCCCGUCAAACCAUGAGAGUUGGCAACACCCGAAGUCGGUAGUCUAACCGCAAGGAGGACGCCGCCGAAGGUAGGAUUGGCGACUGGGGUGAAGUCGUAACAAGGUACC